This is a long non-coding RNA of Esox lucius (northern pike), 2524 nucleotides long. The record is from Ensembl. NCBI's taxonomy places the organism in Eukaryota, Metazoa, Chordata, Actinopteri, Esociformes, Esocidae.
CGCGCGGACUCUUGACUGAAUAGUCCUAUUUAUAGAACGCUACUUUCAGGUCCUCAGCAGGUUUUUGUUCGUGAACCGUGAACGCGCACGCACAUUCAUUACGGUAUGUAGCUUAGCGAAGGGUCAUGGCGAAGAAAUACAUUCAAACUCGGGGCUUUCUGAGUUAUACAGCCUGUAGCAGGCAAUACAAACCUAGACUCACAACUGGGCAAAUAUCCCUUCUACAUGAACCAUGAAUGACACAUUUUCCAUUUUGGUUACUGGUGUGCUGUUCUAACAGCUAUGGCCCCUAAUGGAGAUGGCAUGACGUCAUAAAAGGCUGCAGUAGGCUAUAACUUGGACAUCUUUGAGUCUUUAUGACGUCACAAAUACAGGAGCAUUCAAGAGCUUGGUUGUUCAAACACACGUUCCACAAUUGGUUUGUAGCCUAGAUGGUGACUGAGUUGUUAUACUGAAUAAGUGACUAUUCAUGUGUUAGUAUAUCGCCCUUUCAUAUAUCAUUAAGAUAAACUUCAAGAAAUUAUUAACUUAAUUUUCUUAUAUUCACUCUAUCAGUAUAAAGUAUGAGGAAUAUUGGACAGUGACAAGAACAGAGAUUAGAGAGCACUGUGGCAAUGAAUUCGUUCAUAAUGACAACACGGUUGGACAGGGAGGCAGUGGAGAACAUGUUCUUAAGGGAGAGGAUUUGGAUUCAGGAGAGACUCCAUAACCUUGAGGAGGUUUUAAUGAAUGAACUUGAUCGAAGGUUCUCUAGAUUUCACAAGGAAUGGAGCAAGGACAAGAAAAGGAGGACAAAAUCUGAGCAGAGGAGUAAAGAAACUCAGACCGAGAAAGUAAUAAUCGGAGAUGAUAGUUGGGAGACUGAGAGAGCUUCUGUGAUAAACAAAGUGGACAGUAAACACAGCAUGAGAAAAGAGAGCCUUGAAGAGAGGCAGAGAGAGACUGAGGCCGAGAGGAGGAAAGUAGACUUUGAACAGAGCAUGAGAGAAGAUGGCCUUAUGGAAAGAGUUAGGGACAAUGUUAAAAUAGAGUGUCCAAAGGAAUAUGAUUCCCAAAAGCAGGACAUAAAAGUUAAACAGGUGGAUGAAAAUGUUUUAAUGCAAGACCUAGAGCAUCUGGAUAAUAACAUGGAUGGCGGAAUGAAGCCAGAGAGUGUAGGAGAAACAAAGGGAAAAGAUAGACAGACAGACGUUAUGAAAGAACUCCCAGAGGUUAAUCAUUCCACAACGUUGGACCCCACCAGUAACGAGGCUGACCUUAAAGUUUUACCACAAGAUCUUGAGCACCCCAAAAAUGACAUGGAUGGGGGCAAGGAUUUGUCAAUUCAAGUGGUACCGCUUCUGCGAAAUGGGAAUGUCAGAAUAAUAAACAGGAAAGGACAUUUUAAAAAGGAAGACAAACCAAAGAACACAAUAGACCAACGUCAAAAGGAACAAAAUGCCAAAGUGUAUGUUAACAACACAAGCACACUAUUGAAGGAAAAGACUGACAUGGAUUUGUCUACCCUACCACUACCAGUACUGAGAUGUAGUGAUGUGGGUAUAAUGAACUGGAGAUCAGAUGUUAAAACCAAACACAAGUCAAAGACAACCUGGCAAUAUCUGAAGGAAACAAAAGCAUAUGACAAGUUAAAGAAAAAAGUAGACACACAAGAAAAAUACAAGACUGAUCACCCUGACAACAAAGAUGGCAAAGAGGAGAUGCAGAGGACAAAUGUAGCACUCCUUGGUGAUAUCAGUGAGGACUUUAUCAACUCAGGCUUUUUAAGCAAGCCGGAAACUGAGCACCAGCCUGACAGGCAGUGUAAGUCUGAAACAGUUCUUGACAAACUGAGGAAUACAAUUAACCAACACAAAUCCAGACGAAAGCAGAAAAGGAUAGAAAACCAUCUGAAACUCCUUAAUGCGCCAAUGGAAAAGCAGCAAGAAAUAGACGCUUUCACAACGUUAAAGAUAUUUCAAGAUCCUAAACUGAAGGUGACAAAACCAGCCAAAUGCAAAGGUAAAUGUGGGAGAAAGGUAGAGGAAGGCUGAGGGCAACUAAGAAACUAAGAAAAACGGCAUUUAUUCAUUUACUGUGUAGCUCUGCCAGAACCAUAUGUAUCCAAAGUUGAAAGUGGGCUUAAUUAUGAACAUACAUAGUUAUCGCAGGUGUCCUUGUAAUUGUUACUACACAGCUAUGCACUUAUGUGUGUUGAGAUACAGUUAGGGUACAUCUCUGGAUAAGAUAGUAUUUGUAGAGGCAACUGCAGGGCUUCUUUUCUCCAUGUUCAAUAUUAACACUUUUUCUCUUUCAGAUUUUUCAAUAUUUCUGGCUGAAUCAACCGCGCUGUAGAGUCCCUGUUCAUGGAAGACGACUGAAAUCUGCCACGUAGUUCUGGAACUCAUGUUUUUUGUUGGUGAACAAGAUCAAAUAAACCUGGCUUGUUGUGAUUGAUGAAAGUGUACAGUCUUAUGUAUGUUAAUAACUAAUAAUUGACAAAAUGCUUAUUGUGGACUAGCUAUAAUUAGAGACCUGUAAUUAG